This 224-nucleotide long non-coding RNA is filed under the name Elaeis guineensis (African oil palm). RNAcentral describes it as "long non-coding RNA (EGUI_LNC003771)". Lineage: Eukaryota; Viridiplantae; Streptophyta; Magnoliopsida; Arecales; Arecaceae. The record is from RNAcentral.
GGCACUGGAUAACUAGCCCACUGCUGGAGUCAUCAGCAUGAUCUCCGGACGACUGGAUGGGGGAUGACUGCCGAGGAAGAGUCGACGAAGAGGCUGCACUGGGACAAUGUAAUCAUCUUCACAGAUGAGGAUGCUCGGAGAAUCCAAACUCCUCAUGAUGACGCUGUUGUUGUCUCGGCAACCAUAGCAAACUAUGAUGUAAAGAGAAUUUUUGUUGAUAAUGG